This 4060-nucleotide ribosomal RNA is filed under the name Candidatus Peregrinibacteria bacterium CG1_02_41_10. RNAcentral describes it as "23S ribosomal RNA". It matches the Rfam family "Bacterial large subunit ribosomal RNA". RNAcentral also lists the same sequence under 1 other name. The record is from RNAcentral. Lineage: Bacteria; Candidatus Peregrinibacteriota.
AAGUUACUUUAAAAGCAAAUAGGGGAUGCCUAGGCUUAGGAUUCCGAUGAAGGACGUGGUUGGCUGCGAUAAGCUUCGGUGAGCCGUCAGCAGGCUGUGACCCGGAGAUUUCCGAAUGGGGAAACCCAGCUCCGAUGAUGCGGAGUUGUUUUGACGCAAGUCAAAUCGGACACUUGGUGAACUGAAAUAUCUUAGUAACCAAGGACAAGAAAUCAAAAGAGAUUCCCUUAGUAGUGACGAGCGAAAAGGGAACAGCCCAAACCUGCCAAUGCUUCGCAUUGGAAUUUUCAAUUUUCAAUAACCAAUUUUCAAAUAAAUUUAAAAUUUAAAUUUCCAAAAUUAACAACUUUUUGGAUUUGAGAUUUAGGUCAUUCGGAUUUAUUUGAUAUUUGGAAUUUGAGAUUUGGAAUUUCCACUGCGGAGCAGUGGUUGGGGUUGUAGGACUCCGAUAUCUUUACACUUCAAUUAGCUGAAGAGUUCUGGAAAGAACUGCCGCAGAAGGUGAUAGCCCUGUAAGCGAAAGUUGAUUUGUAAGGUAGGAGUAUCCUGAGUAGGGUCGGACACGUGAAAGCCGGCCUGAAACUGGGAGGUCCAACUUCCAAGGCUAAACAGAUCCUAAGACCGAUAGUGAACUAGUACCGCGAGGGAAAGGUGAAAAGAACCCCGGGAAGGGGAGUGAAAUAGACCCUGAAACUAUUUGCUUACGAGAUGUCGGAGCCCCGCAAGGGGUGACGGCGUACUUUUUGCAUAACGGGCCAGCGAGUUAGUUCUCAACAGCAAGGUUAACCCCGCAGUACGGGGGGAGCCGCAGCGAAAGCGAGUCCAAAUAGGGCGUUGAGUUGUUGGGACUAGACCCGAAACCGAGUGAUCUACCCAUGGUCAGGCUGAGUCCACUGUAAAAGGUGGAGGAGGGCCGUACCUGUUUCUGCUGCAAAAGGAUAGGAUGAACUGUGGGUAGCGGAGAAAUUCCAAUCGAACUCGGAGAUAGCUGGUUCUCCUCGAAAUAGCUUUUGGGCUAGCCUCGUGUCAUAUUUUCUGGAGGUAGAGCUCUGGAAGGGCUAGGGCUUCAAAAGAGGUACCAAACCCUACUAAACUUCAAAUUCCGGAAAAAACUAUCACGGGAGUCAGACAGUGACGGCUAAGCGCCAUUGUCGAAAGGGUAACAGCCCAGAUCUUCAGCUAAGGUCCCUAAAUAAGCCUAAGUGGAAAAGGAGGUGAGAUUACUUAUACAGCCAGGAGGUUGGCUUAGAAGCAGCCACCCUUUAAAGAAAGCGUAACAGCUCACUGGUCUAGUGAUCUUGCACCGACAAUGUAGCGGGGCUCAAGGCUUAUACCGAAGCUAAGAAAUUUGUCCGCAGGACAAGGAAAUUUGAAUUUAAGGUUUUAAAUUUUCUCGUCCUGCGGGCUAGUUGGUAGAGGAGCGUUCUCUUCUGCAGUGAAGUUCUGCCGUAAGGCAGGGUGGAGCGGAGAGAAGUGACAAUGCUGGCAUGAGUAACUUUAACCCGGUGAAAACCCGGGUCACCGCAUACCCAAGGUUUCCCACGCAACGUCAAUCGGCGUGGGGUUAGUCGGUCCUAAGACGAAGCCGAAAGGCGUAGCCGAUGGACGACAGGUUAAUAUUCCUGUACUACACUUUUUUCGCCCAAUCUUUUCUUUAUUGAAGGGUUAUUCUGGAGAUGGAAUAAACUUCGGUUUGUUCUAUUGAAGGAUUAAUCUGUUAGAUAAAGAAGGGAUAGCAACGGGGGGACACAGCCUGAAUAAUUGAGCCGGUUAAUGAAUUCCGGUGUAAGUUCUAAGAAGUAGCAAGUAGGUAAAUCCGCUUACAAGUACCUUCGGGUACAACUUCAAGGAACGAUGCCAAAUGUCCCGACUUGUCGGGAUGAGUCAGUGAUUUUAAGCUGUCAAGAAAAUCCUCUAGCGAGAAAAGAGUGUAACCGUACCGCAAACCGACACUGGUGGGUGAGUCGAGUAGACUCAGGUGAGCGAGAUAACCCUUGUUAAGGAACUCGGCAAUUAAGCGUCCGUAACUUAGGAAUAAGGACUCCCCUUACCGUGCUUUGCACGGAAAUUCCAAAUUACAAAAUCCAAUUUCCAAAUAAAUUAAAAUGAUCAAAAUCUAAAUUUCCAAAAGUUUAGAAUUUUGAAUUUAAAAAAUUGAUUAUUGUUUGAGAUUUGGUAUUUGAUUUUUGGAGCUUCCGCGCAGGGCGCGGUGUGGGGCGCAGCGAAAGAACUCAGGCGACUGUUUAUCAAAAACUUAGGUCUCUGCAAACUCGCAAGAGUAUGUAUAGGGGCUGAUGCCUGGCCAGUGCCAGAAGGUUAAGAGGAGGAGUGCAAGCUCCGAAUUUAAGCCCUGGUGAACGCCGGCCGUAACUAUAACGGUCCUAUGGUAGCGAAAUUCCUUGUCGGGUAAAACUGUCGGAAAGCUUGCCCGAAUAUUACGGUAACGUGAUAUAAGUAAACUGGCUAAUAUCGGUGAAAGCUAAGUCUUGUCUUUGUAAGAAGGGAAGAUAUGCUAAUACCGAGGGAACCCCGCUGGGCGGGGACCCGUAACGACUGAUUCGAAAGAUGAGGCUUGUCCCUCUCUAAAGGGGAUGGGCAAUACGCCAGCUCUUGUUUUAAAAAAAUAAACCAUGGAUUUUGCCUCUUAUAUUACUGGAUUUACUGAUGGAGAAGGUUGUUUUUCUGUUUCUUUUAAUUUGCGCGCCAAAUUAAAGAUCGGCAUAGAAGUAAGACCGAGCUUUUCUCUGACGCAGCACAAAAGAAGCCUGUCUAUUUUAGAGCAAAUUCAACACCAUUUUGCUUGUGGAGAAAUUCGUUUCUCCAAAAAGGAUCAAACUUAUAAGUGGGAAGUGAGGAGUUUAAUUGAUUUAAUCAAGAAGAUUAUCCCUCAUUUUCAAAAGUAUCCUUUGCUGACAAGUAAAAAUAGCGAUUUUGAAAAAUUUACACGAAUUUGCGAAUGGAUGUAUACAAAUAAACACCUUAAUCCAGUCUAUCUAGAACAAAUUGUUUUACUAGCUUACACAAUGAAUCAAAGUGGUAAGCGUAAGUAUGACAAAGCAAAACUCCUAAAGCUUAUAACAAGAUGAAGAUAUAGUCUGAUCUUGCGCGAAAGCGUUAAGCUUAAUGAAGUUCCGACCCGCACGAAUGGCAUAACGAUCUGAGUACUGUCUCAACAAGGGGCUCGGUGAAAUUAUAAUGUCGGUGCAAAUACCGACUUAACCACGACUAGACGGAAAGACCCCGUGGAGCUUUACUAUAUCCUGACACUGAAAGAGGGUAUUUUAUGUGUAGAAUAGGUGGGAGACUAUGAAGUCCCGACGCUAGUCGGGACAGAGUCGCCGUUGAAAUACCACCCUUGAAAUACUUUGUUUCUAACUCUCCCGAUUAAAUCGGGAGGGGACAAUGUUUGGUGGGUAGUUUAACUGGGGCGGUUGCCUCCUAAAUGGUAACGGAGGCGCGCGAUGGUUGGCUAGCGCCGGAUGGAAAUCGGCGCGAUAGUGUAUUCGCUUAAGCCAGCCUGACUGUGAGACUUACAAGUCGAGCAGAGACGAAAGUCGGUGAAAGUGAUCCGGCACUUCUAUUUGGUAGGGGUGUCGCUCAACGGAUAAAAGUUACCCCGGGGAUAACAGGCUGAUAGUGCCCGAGCGUCCACAGCGACGGCACUGUUUGGCACCUCGAUGUCGGCUCGUCUCGUCCUGGGGCUGAAGAAGGUCCCAAGGGUUUGGCUGUUCGCCAAUUAAAGAGGUACGCGAGCUGGGUUCAGAACGUCGUGAGACAGUUCGGUCCCUAUCUGUCGUGGUCGCAUGGAAAUUUGAGGGAGCCUGCUCUUAGUACGAGAGGACCAGAGUGGACGAACCCCUGGUGUACCAGCUGUUCCGUCAAGAGCAAUGCUGGGUAGCUAUGUUCGGAAGGGAUAACCGCUGAAAGCAUCUAAGCGGGAAGCCUGUCCCAAGAUUAGAUUUCCCUAAGACCGCCGGGAGACUACCGGUUUGAUAGGCGGAAGGUGUAAGUCCCGUAAGGGAUUGAGCCAAUCCGUACUAAUGGUCAUUUGAACUUUUUU